UACGUAGGGUGCAAGCGUUGUCCGGAAUUAUUGGGCGUAAAGAGCUCGUAGGCGGUUUGUUGCGUCGGCUGUGAAAUCCCGAGGCUCAACCUCGGGUCUGCAGUCGAUACGAGCAAACUAGAGUGUUGCAGGGGAGACUGGAAUUCCUGGUGUAGCGGUGAAAUGCGCAGAUAUCAGGAGGAACACCGGUGGCGAAGGCGGCUUUCUGGACAGAUACCGACGCUGAGGCACGAAAGCUAGGGGAGCAAACAGG
This 253-nucleotide ribosomal RNA is filed under the name uncultured bacterium. RNAcentral's name for it is "partial 16S ribosomal RNA". It matches the Rfam family "Bacterial small subunit ribosomal RNA", at positions 524 to 776 of the family's 1533-position model. The record is from RNAcentral.